RNAcentral lists this ribosomal RNA (506 nucleotides) under uncultured bacterium. RNAcentral's name for it is "partial 16S ribosomal RNA". It matches the Rfam family "Bacterial small subunit ribosomal RNA", at positions 29 to 523 of the family's 1533-position model. The record is from RNAcentral.
AGUGAACGCUGGCGGUAGGCCUAACACAUGCAAGUCGAACGGCAGCACAGAGGAGCUUGCUCCUUGGGUGGCGAGUGGCGGACGGGUGAGGAAUACAUCGGAAUCUACUCUGUCGUGGGGGAUAACGUAGGGAAACUUAUACUAAUACCGCAUACGGCCUACGGGUGAAAGCAGGGGACCUUCGGGCCUUGCGCGAUUGAAUGAGCCGAUGUCGGAUUAGCUAGUUGGCGGGGGAAAGGCCCACCGAGGCGACGAUCCGUAGCUGGUCUGAGAGGAUGAUCAGCCACACUGGAACUGAGACACGGUCCAGGCUCCUACGGGAGGCAGCAGUGGGGAAUAUUGGACAAUGGGCGCAAGCCUGAUCCAGCCAUACCGCGUGAGUGAAGAAGGCCUUCGGGUUGUAAAGCCCUUUUGUUGGGAAAGAAAUCCAGCUGGCUAAUACCCGGUUGGGAUGACGGUACCCAAAGAAUAAGCACCGGCUAACUUCGUGCCAGCCGCCGCCGUAA